UGCGAGUGGAGCACUGCUGACU
This 22-nucleotide microRNA is filed under the name Oreochromis niloticus (Nile tilapia). RNAcentral's name for it is "oni-miR-10610b". Lineage: Eukaryota; Metazoa; Chordata; Actinopteri; Cichliformes; Cichlidae. The record is from miRBase by way of RNAcentral.